CCUACGGGUGGCAGCAGUGGGGAAUAUUGGACAAUGGGGGGAACCCUGAUCCAGCCAUGCCGCGUGUGUGAAGAAGGCCCUCGGGUUGUAAAGCACUUUCAGUGAGGAAGAACGCCUGGUGGUUAAUACCCAUCAGGAAAGACAUCACUCACAGAAGAAGCACCGGCUAACUCCGUGCCAGCAGCCGCGGUAAUACGGAGGGUGCGAGCGUUAAUCGGAAUUACUGGGCGUAAAGCGCGCGUAGGUGGCUUGAUAAGCCGGUUGUGAAAGCCCCGGGCUCAACCUGGGAACGGCAUCCGGAACUGUCAAGCUAGAGUGCAGGAGAGGAAGGUAGAAUUCCCGGUGUAGCGGUGAAAUGCGUAGAGAUCGGGAGGAAUACCAGUGGCGAAGGCGGUCUUCUGGACUGACACUGACACUGAGGUGCGAAAGCGUGGGUAGCAAACAGGAUUAGAUACCCGAGUAGUC
Molecule: ribosomal RNA, 465 nt
Filed under: Vreelandella stevensii
Lineage: Bacteria; Pseudomonadati; Pseudomonadota; Gammaproteobacteria; Oceanospirillales; Halomonadaceae
Description: partial 16S ribosomal RNA
Rfam family: Bacterial small subunit ribosomal RNA
Source: RNAcentral